RNAcentral lists this long non-coding RNA (1658 nucleotides) under Rattus norvegicus (Norway rat). Its description in RNAcentral is "long non-coding RNA NONRATT023669". Lineage: Eukaryota; Metazoa; Chordata; Mammalia; Rodentia; Muridae. The record is from RNAcentral.
AACUCCAGCCUUUCCUGAGGCAUGGACUAGAUGUCUCCUGAGAGAGCUGGACUUCCUAGGAAAGAGACAUUGUCUAUGACAGUGUAAGAAAUAUGACAGCAAUGUCAGUAACAUCUGGGUGGGGCCUCUUUCUAAAUGCUGUUUGUACAUUCAGAACUCCUAGGCCACUUUUCCUACUGUGAUCUCAUUUCUUUGACUCUCUUCAGGGUUUGGGGAAGAGGGAGCAGUUUCUGAUUUCUUUAAUUAUAUUGUUUACUAUAUUAGAGGAAAUACAGACACUCUCCUGGUGACUUUAUAGGUCAGAAAGACAUACAGCUUAGGAGUCGGAUUUAUUAUUAUUAUUAUUAUUAAAAGUAAGAUUUUUACUUUAGUUUUUAAAAAAGAUGGAGAAGGAUGCCUGUCUAAACUUGUCUUCCUACCUGCAGGUUUUGAAAAUCCUGUAAGCAACCGAAAGUUGUACCUCCCAUCUCUUAGAUGGCCAUGUGUCACCGGGGAAGCCCUUGGGGAUCACUCUGAAGGCCCUUGAGAGUACGAUUUCUGAACUCUAUUCAGACUUGUUUCAGCUUUAAAACUGGACUUUUCUUUUCAGAAUAUUUAAUUAGGCUGGGGACAGAACUGAGUAGAUGAAGGGUUCACCUAGCAUGCAUGGAACCUUGGGUCCAGUCUCCAGCAGGAGUUAAAGUGGGCACAGGGCACAUGCCUUUGACCCUAAUGCUUAGGAAGUAGAGACAGGAGACUUAGAGGUUCAAGGUCAUACAAAACAAGUUCAAGACUGACCUAGGAUAUAUGGAAUAAUGUCUCAAGAACAGUUCUGGUUUUGGUCUGUUUUUGGACAAGCUUUUGGUCUCUUAUAUUAUUAGUGAAGGAAGUAGAAUUUAUUUCUGGCUUCCUUAGACUCUCUGUUAAUAUAUAGGAAUUUUUAUUACACUUAUUUAUCUGUGUGUGUGCAUGUGUGCUGUGUGUGCUGUGCGUGUGUGUGUCUGUGUGUGUGUAUGUGAUGGAGAGCUUGCUAUGGUAUGUAUGUGGAGGUCAGAGGAGUCCGUUCUCUCCUUCCACCAUGUGGGUCCUGGGGAUUGAACUCAGGUUGCCAGGCUUGGUGGCAAGCACCCUCAUCCACUGAGCCAUCUUGCCAGCCCUUAAAGUUUCAGUCUUAAGGCUGAAACUGUUACUUGAACCUAGAAAACCACAUCUCAUCCCCAUUGUGCCCUUUAGGUCAUUUCUCUUUUCCAGAGAUGGGCGGACCAAUUCAGGACCCGGGAGACACCCUAGAGAAGAGAGGCAGGCUCCCUCGGGUCCUGUCUUUUCGCUCUUCAUGGGUCUGUAGCAUUAAAGGUCGUGUGAGCAUCAUGCUUCCAAAGUCAGAUUUCCUUCUUGAGACAGAGCUUGUUUACUUCAGACAUUUCGGCGGGUGGAUUACAUGAGCUUUGCUGUUUUCCUGGUCUUCCAAUUGCUGUCAUUGCUAGCUGCUGUGGUACUUGUAGGGGUGAGAUCUCUCACAGCCCCAGUCUAGAUUAUUUUAGAUGGGGUGAUCCACAUGCAAGUUACUGAUAUGUGAAUAGGCAGUUGCAAUGAAGUUACUCCUCAGGCUGACUUGAUGGUAGCUAUCUUUUCUCUAGUCAUUCAUUAAAUAAACAUUUGUAAGUACUGUCUAUGUAUAA